RNAcentral lists this ribosomal RNA (431 nucleotides) under uncultured bacterium. RNAcentral's name for it is "bacterial SSU rRNA". It matches the Rfam family "Bacterial small subunit ribosomal RNA", at positions 9 to 441 of the family's 1533-position model. The record is from RNAcentral.
GAGUUUGAUCUUGGCUCAGAUUGAACGCUGGCGGCAGGCCUAACACAUGCAAGUCGGGCGGUAGAGAGAAGCUUGCUUCUCUUGAGAGCGGCGGACGGGUGAGUAAUGCCUAGGAAUCUGCCUGGUAGUGGGGGAUAACGCUCGGAAACGGACGCUAAUACCGCAUACGUCCUACGGGAGAAAGCAGGGGACCUUCGGGCCUUGCGCUAUCAGAUGAGCCUAGGUCGGAUUAGCUAGUUGGUGAGGUAAUGGCUCACCAAGGCGACGAUCCGUAACUGGUCUGAGAGGAUGAUCAGUCACACUGGAACUGAGACACGGUCCAGACUCCUACGGAGGCAGCAGUGGGGAAUAUUGGACAAUGGGCGAAAGCCUGAUCCAGCCAUGCCGCGUGUGUGAAGAAGGUCUUUCGGAUUGUAAAGUCACUUUAAGUU